GAUGAACGCUGGCGGCGUGCCUAAUACAUGCAAGUCGAGCGAACGGACGAGAAGCUUGCUUCUCUGAUGUUAGCGGCGGACGGGUGAGUAACACGUGGAUAACCUACCUAUAAGACUGGGAUAACUUCGGCAAACCGGAGCUAAUACCGGAUAAUAUUUUGAACCGCAUGGUUCAAAAGUGAAAGACGGUCUUGCUGUCACUUAUAGAUGGAUCCGCGCUGCAUUAGCUAGUUGGUAAGGUAACGGCUUACCAAGGCAACGAUGCAUAGCCGACCUGAGAGGGUGAUCGGCCACACUGGAACUGAGACACGGUCCAGACUCCUACGGGAGGCAGCAGUAGGGAAUCUUCCGCAAUGGGCGAAAGCCUGACAGAGCAACGCCGCGUGAGUGAUGAAGGUCUUCGGAUCGUAAAACUCUGUUAUUAGGGAAGAACAUAUGUGCAAGUAACUGUGCACAUCUUGACGGUACCUAAUCAGAAAGCCACGGCUAACUACGUG
Molecule: ribosomal RNA, 497 nt
Filed under: uncultured bacterium
Lineage: Bacteria
Description: partial 16S ribosomal RNA
Rfam family: Bacterial small subunit ribosomal RNA
Source: RNAcentral